GGGGAGAAGCUCAAAUUUUAAAUCUGCUAGGUUUUACUUAUCAGAAUUGUAAUUUGAAGAAGUGUUUUCCGCGUCUUGGUUGGCCCAAAUCCUUUGGGAUGAGGUAUCAUGGAGGGUUACAAUCCCGUUCGGUUGACCUCAUUGACGCUUUACGAUACGCUUUCUAA
RNAcentral lists this ribosomal RNA (167 nucleotides) under Glomus sp. RNAcentral describes it as "partial large subunit ribosomal RNA". It matches the Rfam family "Eukaryotic large subunit ribosomal RNA", at positions 99 to 261 of the family's 3401-position model. Lineage: Eukaryota; Fungi; Glomeromycota; Glomeromycetes; Glomerales; Glomeraceae. The record is from RNAcentral.